RNAcentral lists this ribosomal RNA (254 nucleotides) under uncultured bacterium. Its description in RNAcentral is "partial 16S ribosomal RNA". It matches the Rfam family "Bacterial small subunit ribosomal RNA", at positions 524 to 776 of the family's 1533-position model. The record is from RNAcentral.
UACGUAGGGUGCAAGCGUUAAUCGGAAUUACUGGGCGUAAAGCGUGCGCAGGCGGUUGUGCAAGACCGAUGUGAAAUCCCCGGGCUUAACCUGGGAAUGGCAUUGGUGACUGCACGGCUAGAGUGUGUCAGAGGGGGGUAGAAUUCCACGUGUAGCAGUGAAAUGCGUAGAGAUGUGGAGGAAUACCGAUGGCGAAAGGCAGCCCCCUGGGUCAAGAUUGACGCUCAUGCACGAAAGCGUGGGCAGCAAACAGG